AGUGAACGCUGGCGGUAGGCCUAACACAUGCAAGUCGAACGGCAGCACAGUAAGAGCUUGCUCUUACGGGUGGCGAGUGGCGGACGAGUGAGGAAUACAUCGGAAUCUACUUUUUCGUGGGGGAUAACGUAGGGAAACUUACGCUAAUACCGCAUACAACCUACGGGUGAAAGCAGGGGAUCUUCGGACCUUGCGCGAUUGAAUGAGCCGAUGUCGGAUUAGCUAGUUGGCGGGGUAAAGGCCCACCAAGGCGACGAUCCGUAGCUGGUCUGAGAGGAUGAUCAGCCACACUGGAACUGAGACACGGUCCAGACUCCUACGGGAGGCAGCAGUGGGGAAUAUUGGACAAUGGGCGCAAGCCUGAUCCAGCCAUACCGCGUGGGUGAAGAAGGCCUUCGGGUUGUAAAGCCCUUUUGUUGGGAAAGAAAAGCAGCAGGUUAAUACCCCGCUGUUCUGACGGUACCCAAAGAAUAAGCACCGGCUAACUUCGUG
This 492-nucleotide ribosomal RNA is filed under the name uncultured bacterium. Its description in RNAcentral is "partial 16S ribosomal RNA". It matches the Rfam family "Bacterial small subunit ribosomal RNA", at positions 29 to 507 of the family's 1533-position model. The record is from RNAcentral.